This is a long non-coding RNA of Lytechinus variegatus (green sea urchin), 1002 nucleotides long. RefSeq lists it as uncharacterized. NCBI's taxonomy places the organism in Eukaryota, Metazoa, Echinodermata, Echinoidea, Temnopleuroida, Toxopneustidae. The transcript has 3 exons. The record is from RefSeq and is a predicted model, not a curated record.
AAUUGUGCACCCCCUCCCCGUAAAAAAACAUGAAAGCACACAAACAUAAAGGUAUGUUUAAUUUAGCAGCAAAUAAAGGAUAGUAUUGAGUAAAUUAUCAAUGGCAAUGAAUUCAGUAGAAUGUAAGAUACAUGUAAAUUGACAUUUUUUUCUUUCCAAAGAAAACAAUGCAUGUGAUUCAAACAAGACAUAUGGUUAAUGAAAAACUCAUAAUACUUGUCUCUUCAAGUCUUAACAUACCUGGCUGUGACUGAAAUUACAGUUUAUCCAAACAUUGAUUCAGGUGUAGUUUUGAUUCGUAUUUGUGCUGGAAACCAUACUUUAUUUAUGUAUAUAUUUUUUGCAUGUCACUGACCAGUGUGUAAAUGUAUUCAGCAUAUCUUGGCUACUGUAUUGAUAUCCAAUUAACAGCCGUUCAAAGAUCCAGCAAUCGAAUUUCAGCAGCAUGGCCUUACAACCUCUGUUGGGAUACAGGUCUCUGUAGCAACAAGAGUAAAACGGUCACAAAGGGUUGUACUUCUGCAGAACACAGGCUCACAGAUACCACCCGAUAUUCCAGCCUUUAUUUCAAGAGGGACCUCUUUUGACAAAGGGGAUAUACCAGAAGAGAAAGUUGAUUCAAAGGAAGUGGAGGAAGAAAGGUUAUCAUCACCAGAAAGUGACGCUGCAGAACCCUCCUCACCUGGAUACAAACCACCAUCAUCUUCAUCUUCAUCAUCAGAUGAGCGUGUAAUUGCCAAGCCACAAAAAAGACGGAGAAAACGGAAAAGGCGACCAAGCAAAAAGGCCCCAUGGGAAGCCCCAGCCAAAGGUAUUCCUCCACACAAGGAAAAAAAAUACAUUGUUUUUGAGUCUAAGCUUUUGGAGCUGUUGCAGUUUUGUCCAUCCUGCAAGUCUUCAAAUGUGUCCCUUGUAAAGAGAGAAGUUGGAUGCCUCCUUUCUGUGACAAGGGAGUGCCUAUCUUGUGACCAGAAGUCGACAACAUGGGAGAGCCAGCCAUGG